GUGGGUAGUUUGACUGGGGCGGUCUCCUCCUAAAGAGUAACGGAGGAGCACGAAGGUUGGCUAAUCCUGGUCGGACAUCAGGAGGUUAGUGCAAUGGCAUAAGCCAGCUUGACUGCGAGCGUGACGGCGCGAGCAGGUGCGAAAGCAGGUCAUAGUGAUCCGGUGGUUCUGAAUGGAAGGGCCAUCGCUCAACGGAUAAAAGGUACUCCGGGGAUAACAGGCUGAUACCGCCCAAGAGUUCAUAUCGACGGCGGUGUUUGGCACCUCGAUGUCGGCUCAUCACAUCCUGGGGCUGAAGUAGGUCCCAAGGGUAUGGCUGUUCGCCAUUUAAAGUGGUACGCGAGCUGGGUUUAGAACGUCGUGAGACAGUUCGGUCCCUAUCUGCCGUGGGCGCUGGAGAACUGAGGGGGGCUGCUCCUAGUACGAGAGGACCGGAGUGGACGCAUCACUGGUGUUCGGGUUGUCAUGCCAAUGGCACUGCCCGGUAGCUAAAUGCGGAAGAGAUAAGUGCUGAAAGCAUCUAAGCACGAAACUUGCCCCGAGAUGAGUUCUCCCUGAGACUUUAGGUCUCCUGAAGGAACGUUGAAGACGACGACGUUGAUAGGCCGGGUGUGUAAGCGCA
Molecule: ribosomal RNA, 622 nt
Filed under: Salmonella enterica subsp. enterica serovar Muenchen
Lineage: Bacteria; Pseudomonadati; Pseudomonadota; Gammaproteobacteria; Enterobacterales; Enterobacteriaceae
Also listed under: 3 other names
Description: partial 23S ribosomal RNA
Rfam family: Bacterial large subunit ribosomal RNA
Source: RNAcentral